This 253-nucleotide ribosomal RNA is filed under the name uncultured bacterium. Its description in RNAcentral is "partial 16S ribosomal RNA". It matches the Rfam family "Bacterial small subunit ribosomal RNA", at positions 524 to 776 of the family's 1533-position model. The record is from RNAcentral.
UACGGAGGUGGCGAGCGUUACUCGGAUUCAUUGGGUGUAAAGGGCAGUUAGGCGGACCGAAAAGUCUUAUCUGAAAUCCUUAGGCUUAACCUAAGAACGGGAUAAGAAACUUUCGGUCUUGAGGCUGGAAGAGGAAGAUGGAAUUCCCGGUGUAAGGGUGAAAUCUGUAGAUAUCGGGAGGAACACCAGUGGCGAAGGGGAUCUUCUGGUCCAGACCUGACGAUGAGCUGCGAAAGCUAGGGGAGCAAACAGG